Molecule: ribosomal RNA, 253 nt
Filed under: uncultured bacterium
Lineage: Bacteria
Description: partial 16S ribosomal RNA
Rfam family: Bacterial small subunit ribosomal RNA
Source: RNAcentral
UACAGAGGGUGCGAGCGUUAAUCGGAGUUACUGGGCGUAAAGGGCGCGUAGGCGGUCAGACAAGUGAGAUGUGAAAUCCCUGGGCUUAACCUAGGAAUUGCAUUUUAGACUGUAGGACUAGAGAGCAGUAGAGGGUGGCGGAAUUUCCGGUGUAGCGGUGAAAUGCGUAGAGAUCGGAAGGAACAUCAGUGGCGAAGGCGGCCACCUGGACUGACACUGACGCUGAGGCGCGAGAGCGUGGGGAGCAAACAGG